This 81-nucleotide transfer RNA is filed under the name Elusimicrobia bacterium GWA2_69_24. RNAcentral describes it as "tRNA-Leu". It matches the Rfam family "tRNA". From Rfam's summary of the family: Transfer RNA (tRNA) molecules are approximately 80 nucleotides in length. Their secondary structure includes four short double-helical elements and three loops (D, anti-codon, and T loops). The record is from RNAcentral. Lineage: Bacteria; Pseudomonadati; Elusimicrobiota. RNAcentral also lists the same sequence under 1 other name.
GGGCGGGUGGCGGAACGGCAAACGCGCACGGCUUAGGACCGUGUGCCGCAAGGCUUGUGGGUUCGAGUCCCACCCCGCCCA